Molecule: ribosomal RNA, 710 nt
Filed under: uncultured bacterium
Lineage: Bacteria
Description: bacterial SSU rRNA
Rfam family: Bacterial small subunit ribosomal RNA
Source: RNAcentral
AGCGGCGGACGGGUGAGUAACGCGUGGGUAACCUGCCCUGUACACACGGAUAACAUACCGAAAGGUAUGCUAAUACGAGAUAAUAUGCUUUUAUCGCAUGGUAGAAGUAUCAAAGCUUUGGCGGUACAGGAUGGACCCGCGUCUGAUUAGCUAGUUGGUAAGGUAACGGCUUACCAAGGCGACGAUCAGUAGCCGACCUGAGAGGGUGAUCGGCCACAUUGGAACUGAGACACGGUCCAAACUCCUACGGGAGGCAGCAGUGGGGAAUAUUGCACAAUGGGCGAAAGCCUGAUGCAGCAACGCCGCGUGAGCGAUGAAGGCCUUCGGGUCGUAAAGCUCUGUCCUCAAGGAAGAUAAUGACGGUACUUGAGGAGGAAGCCCCGGCUAACUACGUGCCAGCAGCCGCGGUAAUACGUAGGGGGCUAGCGUUAUCCGGAAUUACUGGGCGUAAAGGGUGCGUAGGUGGUUUCUUAAGUCAGAGGUGAAAGGCUACGGCUCAACCGUAGUAUGCCUUUGAAACUGGGAAACUUGAGUGCAGGAGAGGAGAGUGGAAUUCCUAGUGUAGCGGUGAAAUGCGUAGAUAUUAGGAGGAACACCAGUUGCGAAGGCGGCUCUCUGGACUGUAACUGACACUGAGGCACGAAAGCGUGGGGAGCAAACAGGAUUAGAUACCCUGGUAGUCCACGCCGUAAACGAUGAGUACUAGCUGU